This 247-nucleotide ribosomal RNA is filed under the name uncultured bacterium. RNAcentral's name for it is "partial 16S ribosomal RNA". It matches the Rfam family "Bacterial small subunit ribosomal RNA", at positions 796 to 1041 of the family's 1533-position model. The record is from RNAcentral.
CACGCUGUAAACGAUAGAUACUCGCUGUAGCUGGUAAUCAAUCCGGCUGUAGCUUAGCUAACGCGUUAAGUAUCUCGCCUGGGAAGUACGGUCGCAAGAUUAAAACUCAAAGGAAUUGACGGGGACCCGCACAAGCGGUGGAUUAUGUGGUUUAAUUCGAAGCAACGCGCAAAACCUUACCUAGCCUUGACAUGCCGAUGACCGGUGCAGAAAUGCAUCUUCCCUUCGGGGCAUUGGACACAAGUGC